RNAcentral lists this long non-coding RNA (563 nucleotides) under Zostera marina. RNAcentral's name for it is "long non-coding RNA (ZMAR_LNC004553)". Lineage: Eukaryota; Viridiplantae; Streptophyta; Magnoliopsida; Alismatales; Zosteraceae. The record is from RNAcentral.
UCAUGGCAAAAGUCGAUCCCAGGAAAAGUCGAUCCGGACUUCAGGGAAUCGAACUUGCAACAUAAGGGAAGUCGACCUCAGAAGUCGAUCCCAGGGAAGUCGACCUUCGGGAGACAAGGAUCUCAGGAAGUCGAUCCCAGUAAAAAUGGAUCCAACUUUGAAAAGUCGAUGACAAGGCGUCAAACCUCACAAAGUCGGACCACAGUCCAAUAGGGGAACAACUUCGAAAGGGACCGACUUUCAGAAAAGUCGGACCCCAAGGAAGUCGAACCCAGUGCAACCUCAGAAGAGCCCGACAACAAAAGUCGGACCCCAGAAAGCUGCACCUCCAAGGCUCAAGUCGAAGCCUCACGCACGCUGGAAGUCGAAGCGGAAGACGCUGGAAGUCGAAGCGGAAGAAGCAGGAAGUCGAAGUGAAGAAGCCUAAAAGUCGAUGCGAGAAAGUCGAUCGGUCGGAGCGAAGAAAACGAGUGAGAAACAAAUGAACUCCCUCCGCUAUUUAUAGGGGAAAGUCGAAGACGAACCGUCGCGGGCACUGUUCAUCCGGGUCGACCCGUUGGGCC